This 253-nucleotide ribosomal RNA is filed under the name uncultured bacterium. RNAcentral's name for it is "partial 16S ribosomal RNA". It matches the Rfam family "Bacterial small subunit ribosomal RNA", at positions 524 to 776 of the family's 1533-position model. The record is from RNAcentral.
UACGAAGGGUGCAAGCGUUACUCGGAAUUACUGGGCGUAAAGCGUGCGUAGGUGGUUUGUUAAGUCUGAUGUGAAAUCCCUCGGCUUAACCGGGGAACUGCGUCUGAUACUGGAUGGCUUGAGAUUGGGAGAGGGAUGCGGAAUUCCAGGUGUAGCGGUGAAAUGCGUAGAUAUCUGGAGGAACACCGGUGGCGAAGGCGGCAUCCUGGACCAACACUGACGCUGAGGAGCGAAAGCGUGGGGAGCGAACAGG